GUUUGAGAAUGCUUAACCUUAAAAUCUUUAGAUUUUAAUACAAUGUAGGUGCCCACUAUAUACUGCUUUGGGAUGAUUUUGGCAAUCAUUGGAACUGCUAUGUUGCCAUGGAUACUACACCAAAAAUUUCAAAAAUAUGAAAAUGCUCCAAAUUUUUUGAAAUUCUAGCAUAACGAUGAGCAACUUUGGUAGAUGUGGAAUUUGGCGUUGGAAUUUCCAAAAUGUCUGCCGUUUCCAUGGAAACAAUGCAAAAAGGUCAAAAUGCUCCAAAAACUUCAGGGUUUGGUGAAUAACUUUGGUAUGCUUGAACUUAAAAUCAUCAAAUUUUUAUACAAUAUAGUUGUCCACUAUAUACAGGUUUUGAAUGAUUAUGACAAUCAUUGGAACUACUCUGUUACCAUGGAUACAGGAUCAAAUAUUUCAAAAAUUUCAAAAUGCUCAAAAUUGAUGAAACUUAAUAUUAUUGUUGACUGCCAAGUCUGGAUGAGACUUUUGACUUUGGAAUUUCCAAAAUGGCCACCGUUGCCAUGGAAACUGCAAAAAAGUCAAAAUUCUCAAAAUGCUUUGAACUUAAUAAAACUUGAUAUUAUUGUUAACUGACAAGUAAUAAUGAGGCUUUUGACUUUGAAAUUUUCAAAAUGGCUGCCGUUGCCAUGGAAACGGCAGAAAUGUGAAAUACUUUAAAAUGCUCAAAAUAUACUGAAAAUUUACAGAAAGAUGAAUAGCCAUGCAUAUUUGUGCAUUUACUGUUAAACAAGUUUGAAAUGGCUGCCGCUUAGUGGCAAUAGGGGGAAGGGUGACAUCCGCUAUUGCUUGCAAUGGCAAUUCUAGUU
RNAcentral lists this long non-coding RNA (833 nucleotides) under Mytilus galloprovincialis (Mediterranean mussel). The record is from RNAcentral. Lineage: Eukaryota; Metazoa; Mollusca; Bivalvia; Mytilida; Mytilidae.